Molecule: ribosomal RNA, 2398 nt
Filed under: Salmonella enterica subsp. enterica serovar Typhi str. CT18
Lineage: Bacteria; Pseudomonadati; Pseudomonadota; Gammaproteobacteria; Enterobacterales; Enterobacteriaceae
Description: partial 23S ribosomal RNA
Rfam family: Bacterial large subunit ribosomal RNA
Source: RNAcentral
CCUCAAAAGAAGCAGAGGGGGCUUAGUGGUGGGGUGACUGCGUACCUUUUGUAUAAUGGGUCAGCGACUUAUAUUCUGUAGCAAGGUUAACUGUAUAGGGGAGCCGGAGGGAAACCGAGUCUUAACCGGGCGUUAAGUUGCAGGGUAUAGACCCGAAACCCGGUGAUCUAGCCAUGGGCAGGUUGAAGGUUGGGUAACACUAACUGGAGGACCGAACCGACUAAUGUUGAAAAAUUAGCGGAUGACCUGUGGCUGGGGGUGAAAGGCCAAUCAAACCGGGAGAUAGCUGGUUCUCCCCGAAAGCUAUUUAGGUAGCGCCUCGUGAAUUCAUCUCCGGGGGUAGAGCACUGUUUCGGCUAGGGGGCCAUCCCGGCUUACCAACCCGAUGCAAACUGCGAAUACCGGAGAAUGUUAUCACGGGAGACACACGGCGGGUGCUAAUGUCCGUCGUGAAGAGGGAAACAACCCAGACCGCCAGCUAAGGUCCCAAAGUCAUGGUUAAGUGGGAAACGAUGUGGGAAGGCCCAGACAGCCAGGAUGUUGGCUUAGAAGCAGCCAUCAUUUAAAGAAAGCGUAAUAGCUCACUGGUCGAGUCGGCCUGCGCGGAAGAUGUAACGGGGCUAAACCAUGCACCGAAGCUGCGGCAGCGACACCGUGUGUUGUUGGGUAGGGGAGCGUUCUGUAAGCCUGUGAAGGUGUGCUGUGAGGCAUGCUGGAGGUAUCAGAAGUGCGAAUGCUGACAUAAGUAACGAUAAAGCGGGUGAAAAGCCCGCUCGCCGGAAGACCAAGGGUUCCUGUCCAACGUUAAUCGGGGCAGGGUGAGUCGACCCCUAAGGCGAGGCCGAAAGGCGUAGUCGAUGGGAAACGGGUUAAUAUUCCCGUACUUGGUGUUACUGCGAAGGGGGGACGGAGAAGGCUAUGUUGGCCGGGCGACGGUUGUCCCGGUUUAAGCGUGUAGGUAUGUGUUCCAGGUAAAUCCGGUUCACUUUAACACUGAGGCGUGACGACGAGGCACUACGGUGCUGAAGCAACAAAUGCCCUGCUUCCAGGAAAAGCCUCUAAGCAUCAGGUAACAUCAAAUCGUACCCCAAACCGACACAGGUGGUCAGGUAGAGAAUACCAAGGCGCUUGAGAGAACUCGGGUGAAGGAACUAGGCAAAAUGGUGCCGUAACUUCGGGAGAAGGCACGCUGACACGUAGGUGAAGUGAUUUACUCACGGAGCUGAAGUCAGCCGAAGAUACCAGCUGGCUGCAACUGUUUAUUAAAAACACAGCACUGUGCAAACACGAAAGUGGACGUAUACGGUGUGACGCCUGCCCGGUGCCGGAAGGUUAAUUGAUGGGGUCAGCGCAAGCGAAGCUCCUGAUCGAAGCCCCGGUAAACGGCGGCCGUAACUAUAACGGUCCUAAGGUAGCGAAAUUCCUUGUCGGGUAAGUUCCGACCUGCACGAAUGGCGUAAUGAUGGCCAGGCUGUCUCCACCCGAGACUCAGUGAAAUUGAACUCGCUGUGAAGAUGCAGUGUACCCGCGGCAAGACGGAAAGACCCCGUGAACCUUUACUAUAGCUUGACACUGAACAUUGAGCCUUGAUGUGUAGGAUAGGUGGGAGGCUUUGAAGUGUGGACGCCAGUCUGCAUGGAGCCGACCUUGAAAUACCACCCUUUAAUGUUUGAUGUUCUAACGUGGACCCGUGAUCCGGGUUGCGGACAGUGUCUGGUGGGUAGUUUGACUGGGGCGGUCUCCUCCUAAAGAGUAACGGAGGAGCACGAAGGUUGGCUAAUCCUGGUCGGACAUCAGGAGGUUAGUGCAAUGGCAUAAGCCAGCUUGACUGCGAGCGUGACGGCGCGAGCAGGUGCGAAAGCAGGUCAUAGUGAUCCGGUGGUUCUGAAUGGAAGGGCCAUCGCUCAACGGAUAAAAGGUACUCCGGGGAUAACAGGCUGAUACCGCCCAAGAGUUCAUAUCGACGGCGGUGUUUGGCACCUCGAUGUCGGCUCAUCACAUCCUGGGGCUGAAGUAGGUCCCAAGGGUAUGGCUGUUCGCCAUUUAAAGUGGUACGCGAGCUGGGUUUAGAACGUCGUGAGACAGUUCGGUCCCUAUCUGCCGUGGGCGCUGGAGAACUGAGGGGGGCUGCUCCUAGUACGAGAGGACCGGAGUGGACGCAUCACUGGUGUUCGGGUUGUCAUGCCAAUGGCACUGCCCGGUAGCUAAAUGCGGAAGAGAUAAGUGCUGAAAGCAUCUAAGCACGAAACUUGCCCCGAGAUGAGUUCUCCCUGAGACUUUAGGUCUCCUGAAGGAACGUUGAAGACGACGACGUUGAUAGGCCGGGUGUGUAAGCGCAGCGAUGCGUUGAGCUAACCGGUACUAAUGAACCGUGAGGCUUAACCUUACAACGCCGAAG